Molecule: non-coding RNA, 87 nt
Filed under: Tenuibacillus multivorans
Lineage: Bacteria; Bacillati; Bacillota; Bacilli; Caryophanales; Bacillaceae
Description: c-di-GMP-I riboswitch aptamer
Rfam family: c-di-GMP-I riboswitch aptamer
About the family: GEMM was predicted in a large-scale screen for bacterial structured RNA regulatory elements.
Source: Rfam by way of RNAcentral
UCUCGACAAAGGCAAAACUGGUGAAAGCCAGCGACGCAAAGCUACAGGGGCUACAGUGUAAAAACACAAAGCCAGCCAGCUACCGAA